Molecule: long non-coding RNA, 1422 nt
Filed under: Theobroma cacao (cacao)
Lineage: Eukaryota; Viridiplantae; Streptophyta; Magnoliopsida; Malvales; Malvaceae
Description: long non-coding RNA (TCAC_LNC002750)
Source: RNAcentral
UGAGAUAUAAAUAUAAUAAUUCAAUCAUUUCCUAUGAAUUUACACGUAAUUUGAUAUAAAUAUUGAUUCAUCUAUCAAGCAUCUGUAAUUAUUUACCACUUUCGAAAUCCCCAUCAAGGAUUUCCUUAAAGCCCUAUUGGUUGCAUAUUGAAAGCAAAGAUCAUAUUCGAUCCCAACGUAUCUGACAAACAGCAGAAAUUUGUUGAAAAGGACAAUAACAAUAUCAGCCACAAAGAAUUUUCGUUGUUUUGAUUUUUCUUCCUCUUUCUUUUUUUUUUUUUUGUUUUUUUCUCAUCUCUUUUGGGCCACAACAGAAUUACUGGCCCGAAAUACUCUUCUCUAGGACAAGGGUGUCUCCUGUUAGGCUGUAAGAGAUGAAUAGGUGGAUUUGGAGAUGCAUAUAUAUGGACCAUCAGUUUUUACUGCCUGCUUUAGCACUUGUUGGCCCAAUGUAGCCCAAUCCGCUGCCCUUCAUUUGAUCAGAUUUGAUGAUUGCAAAGCUAAAACAAAGGAGGGUCCAGCAAUUUGGUUGAAUUGCAAAGUUUCAACAAACCAUGAAAAGCAUGUGCCUAUUAAUAAUAAGUGCCUGUUAGGUCCUGGGCAAUGAAGCUACAUUGGCUGGCUUUUAAUUGGCCCCUCUUUUCUUGUUAGAGAUGACUGAUGGCCGGAACCUGCUUGGUGCCUACCCUGAAACACAAGGUAACGGAGCAAUAACUGCAUGUCAUCUCCUUUAAAAGAGAGUUCAGCAUUAAAAUCUGAGCAGUAACUCUAGUGAUUAAUUAAGAGAGAAAAAGGAAAUGCAUUUACCGCACGGCCCUCUAUCCAAUUUGAAAGGGUUAGAGAAAAGCUUCUCUGGACAUCCAGCAGUCUUUCUAUGACACCAAAUCCAUAAGCUUGGACGAAGAGAACCAUGUCAAUUUAGCUCAGCAGCACAAUUUUUUUUUAAUGAAGAGUGAAACUCCCACCAGAUUAUAAACCAUUUUCAUACCGUCUGCAAAUGUCAUCUACAACUUCAAAGAUUUUCUCAGGCAAGAUUAGAUCAAACGUGUUCUGUCGGCAGCGAAUAUGGACAGGCAAUAGUACCUCCAAUGUUAAACAAGGAAAUCUCAUUGGAGUAUUAGUUAUGAUUUGUUGCUAACCACGGGCACCUAAAUUUCAUAGCCUUACAGCGAAAAAGCAGAAGAAAGCAGUAGCAGAAAGAUGUCAAAGGACAAGAAUGCCUCCCCCCCAACAAUUGACUUUCUAAAGCACACCCCAAACGCCCUUUUAUUCAAAGAUCGUGCUUAGACAUUCCGUGGGCAAUAUCCUGCCUUCACAUUCUCAUAUCAAUUUGUUGUACGUAUAAAGCACUUAAAAGGUGUUUUGUUCAUGGUAUUGGGCUAAAUUUUUAUAGCCAAUCAUGUUGUAUUUGGUAUUACGGCU